RNAcentral lists this ribosomal RNA (460 nucleotides) under uncultured Bacteroidota bacterium. Its description in RNAcentral is "bacterial SSU rRNA". It matches the Rfam family "Bacterial small subunit ribosomal RNA", at positions 338 to 795 of the family's 1533-position model. The record is from RNAcentral. Lineage: Bacteria; Pseudomonadati; Bacteroidota.
CCUACGGGUGGCUGCAGUAAGGAAUAUUGGACAAUGGGCGCAAGCCUGAUCCAGCCAUGCCGCGUGCAGGAUGACGGCCCUAUGGGUUGUAAACUGCUUUUAUACGGGAAAAAACCCCUCUACGUGUAGAGGGCUGAUGGUACCGUAAGAAUAAGGAUCGGCUAACUCCGUGCCAGCAGCCGCGGUAAUACGGAGGAUCCGAGCGUUAUCCGGAUUUAUUGGGUUUAAAGGGUGCGUAGGCGGAUUUGUAAGUCAGUGGUGAAAUCCUGCAGCUUAACUGUAGAACUGCCAUUGAUACUGCAAGUCUUGAGUACAUAUGAUGUGGGCGGAAUGUGUAGUGUAGCGGUGAAAUGCUUAGAUAUUACACAGAACACCAAUUGCGAAGGCAGCUCACAAAACUGUAACUGACGCUGAGGCACGAAAGCGUGGGGAGCGAACAGGAUUAGAUACCCCUGUAGUC